RNAcentral lists this long non-coding RNA (6542 nucleotides) under Lactuca sativa (garden lettuce). RNAcentral describes it as "long non-coding RNA (LSAT_LNC008567)". Lineage: Eukaryota; Viridiplantae; Streptophyta; Magnoliopsida; Asterales; Asteraceae. The record is from RNAcentral.
UUUAAGACUUGAGUUGAUCUCAAAGUUCUUCUCUGUUGAAAUAGUUUAUCUAUUUCUGAAUAGCAGAGUUCUAUCUAAACUAUCCACAUAAACAUUAAAUUAUUCAACACAAUCCAUCAUCAAGACAAUCCAACGCAUCACUCAGGUAUAAUCUUGUUCCUAAAAUUUAUUUAUCCGUCAUGUUGUCAAAUUUGGUAUCAGAGCAAUUAAUCCGUCAUCAUGUUAUUUUAAAUUUGGUAUCAGAGCUAAGUAUCGUUCUUAUUAUGAUUAUGAAUGUUAAAUCUUUCGUUCAUAUGAAUACAUGUUCAUCAUGCAUCAUGAAUAUUCAUCGUUACAAACAUUCAUAAUAACUAAAUAAAUAAAUUACCAUUUUGUUUCUAAAAGUUAUAAUCAUGGGGUUUUCAGGUUUAAAUAUUAACAAAUAAAAAAUCUUGAAGAUAAAAUAACAAGAAUAAUUUAUUAAAUAUGUCUCAAGAAAUAGAAAAUACACCAAUCAUUAUUAAUAACGAAGAAAAUGAAUCAGGAUACACCUUUGGUGCUCUAAUUAAUAAAAAUAAUAUUAAUAAAGAUGCUAUAAGAAAAUCAAAUUUUACACUAUCUGAAAAACAUAAUUUUAGAUAUAACUCAUUAAAAAAUUUCUUUUCUAGAAAAAAUAUUAUAUAUUAUGGAAAAAUUAUAGGAGAAGAACCAAUACGCAAUGCUUCAACCAUUAUAACAAACACAACUUGUUAAUAUGAAAACUUUGCACAUAUAGAAAUUUAUAAACCAACUCUAAUGAGUAGAAGAAAAACAAAUAUUAAUCCAAAUAGUACCUUUAUUACAACUAAAAUACAAGAAAAGGAAUUAGUCUCAUAUAUAGAUACAGGAGCUACUUUAUGUUUCGGAAGAAAAAAGAUAUUAAAAAAUUGGAAAAAAUUAGAAAAACCAUUAAAAAUUACAAUUGUUGAUAAAUCAAUUCACAAAAUUUGGUUCGUAGGAAGAGACAUAGAUAUAGUAAUUGAAAAAGCACUAUUUAAAACUCCAAUUAUAUAUCAACAAGAUUCGGGAAUACAUUUAGUAAUAGGAAAUAAUUUUCUUAAAUUAUAUCAACCAUUUAUACAAACAAAUGAUCAUAUAAGUCUCAAUCACCCAACAAAAGGUAUUAUAAAAACUGUAAUUAUCAAACAUUUUGAUCUUAUUAAAAUAAUCAAACAGGAAGUUGGCUUUCAACUACGCAUAUUACUAACAUUCGCUAAAGAAAUUGCUGAAAAACAACUCGAAGAAGUAUGUAGUGAAAACCCGUUAGAUCAAUUAAAAAAUAGAAAUAAUCAAGAAAUAAUAAUAUUAUUAAAAAAACCCUAAUGAUGAAGUUAAUAUUCCAAACAAAAUUCCAUAUAGUAUCAAAGAUGUUUCUGAAUUUAAACAAGAAUGUACUGAAUUACUAGAAAAGGGAAUCAUUCGACCUAGCACAAGUCCUCAUUCUGCACCUGCAUUUUAUGUAGAAAAUAAUAAUGAAAUAAAACGAGGAAAACGAAGAAUGGUAAUUAAUUACAAAAAAAUGAACGAUGCUACUAUUNCGAUGCAAAAUCUGGAAUUGGCAACUACGCUUACAUGAAAAUACGAAACCAGUAACCGCUUUUUCAUGUCCUCCUCAGAAGCACUAUGAAUGGAAUGUCCUUCCAUUCGGUUUAAAGUAGGCACCAACAAUAUAUCAACGAUUCAUGGAUGAAACCUUAAAUGGUUUAGAUCAUAUUUGUCUUGCAUAUAUUGAUGAUAUAUUUGUUUUUACAAAAGGAAAUGAACAAACACACAUCGAUGCAGUUAUUAAAGUUUUACAAAGAAUCAAAGAAAAAGGUUUAGUUUUAUCAAAAAAGAAAUAAAAACUUUUUCAAACUACAGUUGAAUAUCUUGGUUUAAAAAUUGGAGAAAAUGGCCAAUUAUCUUUAACAGACAACAUACGAGAAAAAUUAAAUAUGUUUCCUAAUAAACUUGAAAAUAGAAAACAAAUACAACGAUUUCUUGGUUGUUUAAAUUAUAUUGCAGAACAAGGAUUUUUAAAAAACUUAGCAAAAGAAAGAAGAGCUUUACAAAAGAAAAUAUCAGAAAAAAUACCUUGGUCUUGGACAAAUACAGAUACUAUUUUAGUACAAAAUAUAAAAGAAAAAAUUCAAGUUCUUCCUACCUUAUAUAAUGCAAAGAUCGACGAUUUUCUAAUUGUGGAAACAUAUGUGUCACAAGACACUUGGGCAGGAUGCCUAAAAGCAAUCAUACGUGGAAAAGUAUUAUUAGGAUUAGAUAGUGAGGGAAACCUCACAUCUAACCCAUCAAAAGUACACAAUGAUGAAGCAUACAUUGGUAUGAAAAUACCAUCCGAAGUAAACAAUGAUAAAGUAUACGGUGACAUGAAAAUGUCACCAAAAGCAUACACUGAUACAGAUGUAUCACCUGAAGUAUUAAAAACUGAUAAAUAUGAGCAAAAAUUAUGCAAAUAUAUAUCGGGAACAUUUUCCCAAACGGAGCAAAAUUACAGCACACAUGAACGAGAAACACUAGCAUGUCUCAGAACAUUGAAAAAAUGGAAAGUCGAUCUACUCCAAACCAGAUUCGAGCUACGCACAGAUUCCAAAUAUCUACUUGGCUUUUGGCGAUAUAAAUUACAAGAAGAUUAUUGUCGUGGACGUUUAAUCCGUUGGCAAUUACAAUUACAUCAAUUUCACCCAUACCUCAAGUAUAUCAAAAGUGCCAACAAUCAUAUAGCAGACACACUAACAAGAGAAUGGAAGCCAUCCUAAAGCAACCCAGAUAAGAAGCAACACUAUUCAUGGACGACUAACACAAGAAUCAAAAAACAUCUGCUUUUCCGGAGGCGGGAGGAAUUACGUAAGCAAUGACGUUAAAAAACCAUUAUUGAAGACAUCUGUCCUUUCAAGGUGGAAGGGGUUAUUAUAUUUUUCAUUAUGUAAAGUGUCGGUAGAAGGAUUGUUAUGUAAUUAAAUAAGAAGUGUCGGUAGAAUAAUUAUUAAGUGUCGGUUGAUGUAACAUAAAGUGUGUAACCCUCAAUAGUCUAGGGGGCUAUAAUGUAAAUAUGUGUGUCGUUUUGCAAUCAAAAGAUUGCAACCCAAUUAUGUAACGGCUCCUUCGAGCCUAUAAAUAGGGCCUUCGCCCAUAAGAAAUAAACAAGUGAAGUUUGAGUGUUUAAGACUUGAGUUGAUCUCAAAGUUCUUCUCUGUUGAAAUAGUUUAUCUAUUUCUGAAUAGCAGAGUUCUAUCCAAACUAUCCACAUAAACAUUAAAUUACUCAACACAAUCCAUCAUCAAGACAAUCCAACGCAUCACUCAGGUAUAAUCUUGUUCCUAAAAUUUAUUUAUCUGUCAUGUUGUCAAAUUUGGUAUCAGAGCAAUUAAUCUGUCAUCAUGUUAUUUUAAAUUUGUUGGAUUAUUAUAUUUUUCAUUAUGUAAAGUGUCGGUAGAAGGAUUGUUAUGUAAUUAAAUAAGAAGUGUCGGUAGAAUAACUAUUAAGUGUCAGUUGAUGUAACAUAAAGUGUGUAACCCUCAAUAGUCUAGGGGGUUAUAAUGUAAAUAUAUGUGUCGUUUUGCAAUCAAACGAUUGCAACCCAAUUAUGUAACCGGCUCCUUCGAGCCUAUAUUGCAAUCGUUUGAUUGCAAAACGACACACAUAUUUACAUUAUAGCCCCCUAGACUAUUGAGGGUUACACACUUUAUAUUACACCAACCGACACUUAAUAAUUAUUUUACCGGUUACAUAAUUGGGUUGCAAUCGUUUGAUUGCAAAACAACACACAUAUUUACAUUAUAGCCCCCUAAACUAUUGAGGAUUACACACUUUAUGUUACAUCAACCGACACUUAAUAAUUAUUCUACCGACACUUCUUAUUUAAUUACAUAACAAUCCUUCUACCGACACUUUACAUAAUGAAAAAUAUAAUAAUCCAUCAAAUUUAAAAUAACAUGAUGACAGAUUAAUUGCUCUGAUACCAAAUUUGACAACAUGACGGAUAAAUAAAUUUUAGGAACAAGAUUAUACCCAUGGUUCUAAAAAGCGCGCCAUGGCGCGCCUCAAGGCGUGCUAUGGCGCAAGGCGUGGUGUAGCCGUUACGAAAACGUCCAAGGCGGGUUUGUUAAGCUUGGCGCCCAAAAACGUGUCAAGGCGUGUCUUAUCGUGUUAUGGCGCGAACUUUUUAAAGGCGCGGAUUUUUUUUUUUUUUUUUUCGGGCCUAAAAUAAUUGAGUUUUUGUUAACUUUUUUAUAUUAAAUCUUAAUAUAACACUUCUAAAAACUUCAUAUAUUUGAUACAAUUCAAUAAUUAUAUGAUUUAUCUCUUUUAAUGUAUAUAAAAUAGUCACACCUUGAAAAACGUCAUGGCUCGCCAAGACUUGGCAUAACUUAACUUAGACCUCGACACCAAGUCACGCCUUGCGUUUUUUAGAACCUUGAUUAUACCUGAGUGAUGCGUUGGAUUGUCUUGAUGAUGGAUUGUGUUGAAUAAUUUAAUGUUUAUGUGGAUAGUUUGGAUAGAACUCUGCUAUUCAGAAAUAGACAAACUAUUUCAACGGAGAAGAACUUUGAGAUCAACUCAAGUCUUAAACACUCAAACUUCACUUGUUUAUUUCUUAUGAGCGAAGGCCCUAUUUAUAGGCUCGAAGGAGCCGGUUACAUAAUUGGGUUGCAAUCGUUUGAUUGCAAAACGACACACAUAUUUACAUUAUAGUCUAGGUGGUCUGGUGGAAUCAGUUAAUCAUCAGGCAUCAAGUUACUGUUGUCUUUAGAGGUGGAGAUCAGGGUUUCUGUUUGAUGUAGUUAGUGUCUUCAAUAGCUUCCGUUGGUUUCCUUUGUUCUUAAUUGGAAUUUGUGCAAUUUCUAAAUAUAUCAUGUGUGUUUGAUAGCAAUUAACAAUCACAAACUAUCUAAAGUUGCAUACUUUAACAUACUUUAAUGGUUUUCUUUGGCAUUUCAACAAGUAUGAUGGUUGGUUUGGAUUUUGGAAUAAAGCUGCGAAUAUGAUAUGAUAGGUUAGACACAUCAUUCACUCCUUAAUGAUAACGAUAGAGGUGGGAAGUUUAUAAGCGUUAUUUUUCGUCUUCAGGCUUGAACAUUAGUUACUGAAAUUAUGAUAUCAUAUUCAUAUCAACAACAUGGAAGUAUGGCUAAUUGCUUAAUCCUUAAUGCCUGGUAGAUGAUUAAAUUACAUAACUUUAUUGUUGGUAUAAGAUAAAUGUUUUGAUGUUUGGAAGGGUAAUGUUGCAGUGUCUCAUUUCCUUAUAUACAAAAUGAUGUCAUAUAUGUACUUUGCUUUUGGUUACAACCUGCAAUUUGUCAUUUUUUAUACAGGCAGCAACCUAGAUAAAACCAACAUCCUGAUUACUUUUUUUUUAAUCAUCACAUACUUGUUUAAAUGCAAGAAAUAGCAAUGUCCUUUCAUUUAUUUUUCUAUUAUAGCAUUUCACUUUCAUGUCUUUUAUCAAAACAUUGCAAUUUUACAUAGAUACUAAAUUGUAGGCUUUUUAGUUCAGUACAAUAGUUCAUGGUUUAUACAAAUUAUCGAAUAUUGAAUAUAAAAUCGCCUUGGAACUUUUUCCCACACUUGAAAGAAGGUUUAUAAUAUUGUAGAAUUCACAAACCCUACAUCGAUUUUUUUGUCACAUCUCUAAAAGAUUGAUUAUGAUUUUAAGUUUUUAUUAAAGAAUAUAUAUAAGGGUAUAUUUGGAAAUCAUGUGAAAAAAGCUCCAUGAGCUUAUCAAUAAACAAUCUCAAAUUGUAUUUUAAAAAUCUAGAUUAUAAGCCAUUUAUUGGUCUCAUCAAAUGCUAAGUAAACUUAAAAAAUAAGAUAAGGAUGGUGAAGUUAGUCGAAUGAUCUACAAUCUUUCAUGGAUUUUAGAACUUAAAUUAGCCAACCAAAAUAACAAUUUGUUUUAUGCUUACGUCUGCAUGUUGGAAUGUAUGUUGAUUUUUCUUGAACUAGAAACAAAAGGUUAAAUUGUUAACUUAUUAUAGUGCAAUGAAGGUUAAUUUGUUACACAUGAAAAUGAAAUAGUUUACACAACUUAAUGACUUAUUAACACUAAACUUACCAACAAAUUUAUGCAAAUUUGAAACCUAUGAGCUGCAUUAUCAUUAGACUAAUAAGUUCGUUCGAUGACUUCAAACUAGUGUUGUUUGAAGUGGCAAUUAACAUCGUAAAGCUUUCUGGUUUAGGUCUGGGAGAUGUUCUACUAAGUGUUAGUACAUAGUAUUUUUUUUAAGGGAGAUGUAUUAAAGAAACUUUUACACACUUUGGAAAAUACAUGGUCAAAAGGAUGCCAUAUGGGUCCCACUCAUUCCUUCAAAACGUUGGAACAUACUAGUAUAAUAAAGGGUUCCUUUAGUUAGCAGAUAACUUAAAACUUUAUGAUCCACCUUCCAAGAAAUAAUAUUUAAUGACUAAAUCAGGCCAAAAAUGAUAAUAUUUAUUUAUAAAUUUAAACAUGUACAUCCAAAUGUAAGUCACCCUGUCAUCCUAAUUCGUAAUUCAUAAUACUUUUACCCAGAGUCCCAAUAAACACCUUU